Molecule: small nuclear RNA, 21 nt
Filed under: Arabidopsis thaliana (thale cress)
Lineage: Eukaryota; Viridiplantae; Streptophyta; Magnoliopsida; Brassicales; Brassicaceae
Description: snRNA_11468
Source: RNAcentral
AUCCCAAGAAACAGCAACCAU